This 309-nucleotide ribosomal RNA is filed under the name uncultured bacterium. RNAcentral describes it as "partial 16S ribosomal RNA". It matches the Rfam family "Bacterial small subunit ribosomal RNA", at positions 504 to 809 of the family's 1533-position model. The record is from RNAcentral.
AGAGACAGCAGUAGCCGCGGGAAUACGUAGGUGGCAAGCGUUGUCCGGAAUUAUUGGGCGUAAAGCGCGCGCAGGCGGAUCAGUCAGUCUGUCUUAGAAGUUCGGGGCCUAACCCCGUGAUGGGAUGGAAACUGCUGAUCUAGAGUGUCGGAGAGGAAAGUGGAAUUCCUAGUGUAGCGGUGAAAUGCGUAGAUAUUAGGAAGAACACCAGUGGCGAAGGCGACUUUCUGGACGAAAACUGACGCUGAGGCGCGAAAGCCAGGGGAGCGAACGGGAUUAGAUACCCCAGUAGUCCCUGUCUCUUAUACA